RNAcentral lists this long non-coding RNA (308 nucleotides) under Androctonus crassicauda. Lineage: Eukaryota; Metazoa; Arthropoda; Arachnida; Scorpiones; Buthidae. The record is from RNAcentral.
CUUUUCCGCUGAUGUCAAAACCUUUUUGUCAUAGACUGUACAUGAAAAGAACAUCAAGGAAGAGUUUUUAUUCUGUAAAUGACUUGAAACAACAACAAACUAUACGUCAACAAGCAGUUGAUGUAUUCAAGCUGAUCCAAUUGUUCUUUGGUCACCAUGAACUGACAUGGGAUUUGACUGGGUCUAUUUGUAUGGAUGAAGCUCCUACUGUGAUUGGCAAAAAAAAUCUGGAUUCGUUGCUAUGGUCAAAACGAAAACUCCACAUGUGCUCACCACACACUGUGUUCUACAUCGCCAAGCCCUGGCAU